This 253-nucleotide ribosomal RNA is filed under the name uncultured bacterium. RNAcentral describes it as "partial 16S ribosomal RNA". It matches the Rfam family "Bacterial small subunit ribosomal RNA", at positions 524 to 776 of the family's 1533-position model. The record is from RNAcentral.
UACGUAGGGUGCAAGCGUUGUCCGGAUUUAUUGGGCGUAAAGGGCGCGUAGGCGGGAUGGCAAGUCGGUCGUGAAAUCCCUCGGCUCAACCGAGGAACGUCGAUCGAUACUGCUGUUCUUGAGGAUUGCAGAGGAGACUGGAAUUCCCGGUGUAGCGGUGAAAUGUGUAGAGAUCGGGAGGAACACCGGUGGCGAAGGCGGGUCUCUGGGCAAUUCCUGACGCUGAGGCGCGAAAGCGUGGGGAGCAAACGGG